CCUACGGGAGGCAGCAGUGAGGAAUAUUGGUCAAUGGGCGUAAGCCUGAACCAGCCAAGUCGCGUGAGGGAUGAAGGUUCUAUGGAUCGUAAACCUCUUUUAUAAGGGAAUAAAGUGUGGGACGUGUCCUGUUUUGUAUGUACCUUAUGAAUAAGGAUCGGCUAACUCCGUGCCAGCAGCCGCGGUAAUACGGAGGAUCCGAGCGUUAUCCGGAUUUAUUGGGUUUAAAGGGGGCGUAGGCGGCCUGUUAAGUCAGCGGUGAAAGUCCGUGGCUCAACCAUAGAAUUGCCGUUGAAACUGGGAGGCUUGAGUAUGUUUGAGGCAGGCGGAAUGCGUGGUGUAGCGGUGAAAUGCUUAGAUAUCACGCAGAACCCCGAUUGCGAAGGCAGCCUGCCAAGCCAUGACUGACGCUGAUGCACGAAAGCGUGGGGAUCAAACAGGAUUAGAUACCCGAGUAGUC
RNAcentral lists this ribosomal RNA (460 nucleotides) under uncultured bacterium. RNAcentral's name for it is "partial 16S ribosomal RNA". It matches the Rfam family "Bacterial small subunit ribosomal RNA", at positions 338 to 795 of the family's 1533-position model. The record is from RNAcentral.